Molecule: small nucleolar RNA, 126 nt
Organism: Bubalus bubalis (water buffalo)
Lineage: Eukaryota; Metazoa; Chordata; Mammalia; Artiodactyla; Bovidae
Product: small nucleolar RNA ACA64
Exons: 1
Source: RefSeq, a predicted model, not a curated record
GUUGGUUGAAAAUCACGUUUGACUUUGGCCAUGGCCACAGGUGAGAUUCAGCACCCAGAGCCACUAGGGGCCUUAGCUCACUGCCUCUUCUCCAUGUGGGGAGGUGAAACCCAGGCACUGACAUGC